Molecule: long non-coding RNA, 645 nt
Filed under: Oryctolagus cuniculus (rabbit)
Lineage: Eukaryota; Metazoa; Chordata; Mammalia; Lagomorpha; Leporidae
Description: lncRNA (ENSOCUG00000039405.1)
Source: RNAcentral
GUUGGCGCCGCAGGUGGAGGAUUAACCAAGUGAGCCACGGCGCUGGCCCCUUAUGUUUCAUCUUAAUAUUAGGAACUACCAGUCUUGGGGUGACCAAGAUCUUCCCAUGUUUCCACAUUUCCUGUUUUCAAUAUUGGCCCUGAUGGUCUCACUCGGCAGGUGGCAAUGUCUCUUCAUUCUCUGGUCAACAUGUACUAUAAAAAAUCCAUGCUGGCAUUUUCUAGAUGCUUCCAAACAAGACUAAUCAGAAAACUCUGCUGCUCAGAAUGUAGGAACAGGAAGAUGAAAGAAAAUACUUCUUAAUGUUCAAAAGUUUUUUUUCAGAGAGCCUUGUUUAAGGUUCAAAGUGCCAUAAUUCCAUGGAUAUUAAAUAUGUUGGUCUUCACAAAUUGUCCUUAUUGGUUAUUUAAUAUGCACUUUCAUUUAGGAAAUACUGCACUCAAUUAUUUAAAUGAAAAGAUAUGUGACCUAGUAAAAUCAUCAUUUCAAACCUAAAAAUUUCAUAUAUUUUUUCUAGUAAAACAGCCGUUGUUAACUCCAAGGUCCUUUACUAUUUGUCCCAAUUCUGAUAUUUACUUAUCUUUCACUCCCCAGUCAUUAUCAUAAUUUUACAUAAUUCUAGAAUAUCUUGCUAUCUUGUAUAAC